This 778-nucleotide ribosomal RNA is filed under the name uncultured Neocallimastigales. RNAcentral describes it as "partial large subunit ribosomal RNA". It matches the Rfam family "Eukaryotic large subunit ribosomal RNA", at positions 23 to 646 of the family's 3401-position model. The record is from RNAcentral. Lineage: Eukaryota; Fungi; Neocallimastigomycota; Neocallimastigomycetes; Neocallimastigales.
AGAGAGAGACAUGCGCGCAUAUCAAUAAGCGGAGGAAAAGAAACUAACUAGGAUUCCCUCAGUAACGGCGAGUGAAGCGGGAAGAGCUCAAAUUUGAAAUCUUCAAGGGUUCUACCUUUACGAAUUGUAGUUUAAAGAAGUGUUUUCUGUUGGAGUUUUGGUAAAAGUUCUUUGGAAUAGGACAUCAUAGAGGGUGAGAAUCCCGUAUUUGACCAUUAUUUCCAGCUUUGUGAUACACUUUCAAAGAGUCGGAUUGUUUGGGAAUGCAGUCCAAAAUGGGUGGUAAAUUUCAUCUAAAGCUAAAUAUUGGCGAGAGACCGAUAGCGAACAAGUACCGUGAGGGAAAGAUGAAAAGAACUUUGAAAAGAGAGUUAAACAGUACGUGAAAUUGUCAAAAGGGAAGCGUUUGACACCAGUGUUGUUUUCUCGAAAAUCAAUUAAAAAAGGCAGGAUUUUGUGUUGUAUUGACCUUAAUCAGCUUCUGCACUUCAAUUUUCUUGUCUUUUUUAAUGCACUUUUCGUUUAACAAGUCAACAUCAGUUUCUUUCGUUGUAAAAGGGUCAUUGGAAGGUGGCUUUCUUUUCGGAGAAAGUGUUUAUAGCCUUUGGCCUCUGCAAUCGGAGAGAUUGAGGUCUGCAGCGUAGAUCCUUCGGGGUUAGAUACAUUUGUGCUAAGUUAUAGCCUUUCAUAGACAACUUGUUGACUAUGAUCAGUCAUGUAGCUUACUCGCUUAUGCUAUUUUACCUACGCUUAGGAUGUUGAUGUGAUACUGCGAGCA